Molecule: ribosomal RNA, 434 nt
Filed under: uncultured bacterium
Lineage: Bacteria
Description: partial 16S ribosomal RNA
Rfam family: Bacterial small subunit ribosomal RNA
Source: RNAcentral
AGCGAACGCUGGCGGCAGGCCUAACACAUGCAAGUCGAACGAACCUUUCGGGGUUAGUGGCGGACGGGUGAGUAACACGUGGGAACGUGCCUUUAGGUUCGGAAUAACUCAGGGAAACUUGUGCUAAUACCGAAUGUGCCCUUCGGGGGAAAGAGUUAUCGCCUUUAGAGCGGCCCGCGUCUGAUUAGCUAGUUGGUUGAGGUAAUGGCUCACCAAGGCGACGAUCAGUAGCUGGUCUGAGAGGAUGAUCAGCCACAUUGGGACUGAGACACGGCCCAAACUCCUACGGGAGGCAGCAGUAGGGAAUCUUGCGCAAUGGGCGAAAGCCUGACGCAGCCAUGCCGCGUGAAUGAUGAAGGUCUUAGGAUUGUAAAAUUCUUUCACCGGAGACGAUAAUGACGGUACCCGGAGAAGAAGCCCCGGCUAACUUCGUG